AUACGUAGGGUGCAAGCGUUAAUCGGAAUUACUGGGCGUAAAGCGUGCGCAGGCGGUUUUGUAAGACAGAGGUGAAAUCCCCGGGCUCAACCUGGGAACUGCCUUUGUGACUGCAAGGCUAGAGUACGGCAGAGGGGGAUGGAAUUCCGCGUGUAGCGGUGAAAUGCGUAGAUAUGCGGAGGAACACCGAUGGCGAAGGCAAUCCCCUGGGCCUGUACUGACGCUCAUGCACGAAAGCGUGGGGAGCAAACAGGAUUAGAUACCCUGGUAGUCCACGCCCUAAACGAUGUCAACUGGUUGUUGGGUCUUCAUUGACUCAGUAACGAAGCUAUCGCGUGAAGUUGACCGCCUGGGGAGUACGGCCGCAAGGUUGAAACUCAAAUGAAUUGGCGGGG
This 395-nucleotide ribosomal RNA is filed under the name uncultured bacterium. RNAcentral's name for it is "partial 16S ribosomal RNA". It matches the Rfam family "Bacterial small subunit ribosomal RNA", at positions 523 to 918 of the family's 1533-position model. The record is from RNAcentral.